Chelonoidis abingdonii (Abingdon island giant tortoise) is the source of this 179-nucleotide unclassified non-coding RNA. Lineage: Eukaryota; Metazoa; Chordata; Testudines; Testudinidae. The record is from Ensembl.
AUACAUGCUACUAGAGUCUUACAUUCUCCAUUUUCAGAGCAGGUGCAAGAAAAGCAGAGGCAGUGCAUGCUUCUUACAUACUAGCUCCACCAAUAUGCCUCAAUCCACCUCCAAAAAGACCAUCUUUAGGAAUGAGAAGGGAGGACAGUCUAUAUGGCCCACUCAAUUAAUUAGCCUCU